Molecule: ribosomal RNA, 405 nt
Filed under: uncultured bacterium
Lineage: Bacteria
Description: bacterial SSU rRNA
Rfam family: Bacterial small subunit ribosomal RNA
Source: RNAcentral
CAAGGAAUUUUCGUCAAUGGGGGCAACCCUGAACGAGCAACGCCGCGUGGGCGAAGAAGUCCUUCGGGAUGUAAAGCCCUUUUCCCUUUGAAGAAAGAAAGACGGUAGGAGGGGAAUAAGCAUCGGCUAACUACGUGCCAGCAGCCGCGGUAAUACGUAGGAUGCAAGCGUUGUCCGGAAUUAUUGGGCGUAAAGAGCGCGCAGGCGGUCUAUCAAGUCAGAUGUGAAAUAUCCCGGCUUAACCGGGAGGGGUCAUUUGAAACUGGUAGACUAGAGUACAGCAGAGGAUAGUGGAAUUCCCGGUGUAGUGGUGAAAUGCGUAGAUAUCGGGAGGAACACCAGUGGCGAAGGCGACUAUCUGGGCUGAAACUGACGCUGAGGCGCGAAGGCUAGGGGAGCAAACAG